GACAGAGGGGGCAAGCGUUGCUCGGAAUCACUGGGCGUAAAGGGUGCGUAGGCGGGUCUUUAAGUCAGGGGUGAAAUCCUGGAGCUCAACUCCAGAACUGCCUUUGAUACUGAGGAUCUUGAGUUCGGGAGAGGUGAGUGGAACUGCGAGUGUAGAGGUGAAAUUCGCAGAUAUUCGCAAGAACACCAGUGGCGAAGGCGGCUCACUGGCCCGAUACUGACGCUGAGGCACGAAAGCGUGGGGAGCAAACAGG
Molecule: ribosomal RNA, 253 nt
Filed under: uncultured bacterium
Lineage: Bacteria
Description: partial 16S ribosomal RNA
Rfam family: Bacterial small subunit ribosomal RNA
Source: RNAcentral